Molecule: regulatory RNA element, 46 nt
Organism: Rhodococcus sp. RD6.2
Lineage: Bacteria; Bacillati; Actinomycetota; Actinomycetes; Mycobacteriales; Nocardiaceae
Rfam family: L31-Actinobacteria ribosomal protein leader
Source: Rfam
CCGGUUCCGGUUCACGGCUUCGAUUCGCGAAGCCGACCCGGCGACC